This 77-nucleotide small RNA is filed under the name Flavobacterium sp. 270. RNAcentral's name for it is "Flavo-1 RNA". It matches the Rfam family "Flavo-1 RNA". The record is from RNAcentral. Lineage: Bacteria; Pseudomonadati; Bacteroidota; Flavobacteriia; Flavobacteriales; Flavobacteriaceae.
GCCUAGCCCUGAUAGCAGUUGAAAUACUUUUGUGCCGGACCCUGCACAAAAGAUUGGAACGUAUAGCGGGAAAAAGC